AGCGAACGCUGGCGGCAGGCUUAACACAUGCAAGUCGAACGCCCCGCAAGGGGAGUGGCAGACGGGUGAGUAACACGUAGGAAUGUACCCUUUGGUUCGGAAUAACUUGGGGAAACCCAAGCUAAUACCGGAUAAGCCCUUAUGGGGAAAGGUUUACUGCCGAAGGAUCGGCCCGCGGCUGAUUAGCUAGUUGGUGAGCUAAUGGCUUACCGAGGCGACGAUCAGUAGCUGGGCUGAGAGGCUGAUCAGCCACACUGGGAAUGAGACACGGCCCAGACUCCUACGGGGGGCAGCAGUUGGGGAUAUUGGACAAUGGGGGCAACCCUGAUCCAGCCAUGCCGCGUGAGUGAUGAAGGCCUUAGGGUUGUAAAGCUCUUUUACCCGGGACGAUAACGACUGUACCGGGAGAAUAAGCCCCGGCUAACUUCGUGCCAGCCGCCGCAGUAA
Molecule: ribosomal RNA, 447 nt
Filed under: uncultured bacterium
Lineage: Bacteria
Description: partial 16S ribosomal RNA
Rfam family: Bacterial small subunit ribosomal RNA
Source: RNAcentral